Molecule: long non-coding RNA, 9413 nt
Filed under: Cucumis sativus (cucumber)
Lineage: Eukaryota; Viridiplantae; Streptophyta; Magnoliopsida; Cucurbitales; Cucurbitaceae
Description: long non-coding RNA (CSAT_LNC001583)
Source: RNAcentral
UUAAAGAGAUUGGUGAUAAAGUUGGGAAGACUCCUGCACAAGUUGCCCUUCGUUGGGGACUACAAAUGGGUCAUAGUGUGCUCCCGAAAAGUACUUCUGAAUCGAGGAUCAAAGAAAAUUUUGACAUUUUCGAUUGGUCGAUACCUGAAGAUUUGUUUGCCAAGUUUUCUGAGUUCCAUCAAGUAAGUAUACAUAGUUCUAUUGAUCUUGAUUGUUUCCUCGGAGUGGAAUAUAUUUGUGUAGAGUUGUUAUUAUGCUAAUGUACUGACAUCAAUUCUGUUGUUCGCUUGGACAGGAAAGGGUUCUUAAAGGAGAAUUGUUUAUAAAUGAGAAUUAUGUGUACCGGACGCUUGAGGAAUUGUGGGAUGGAGAGACCUAAUGGUGUUUUCUAAUAUAAUAUCAUUUGGAGAUUUGAAGGAUAAUCUCAUUUGUGGUGUUUGGGUACAAUAAUGGUUGUGUAUGAAAAUAUAAUAAUUCAAGUUUUCAAGUAAUAUCAUUUGGGGUUUUCCUCGUAGAUGGUGUAGUCUUUAGAGUAUAUGUUUGGAGAAGCCUUAAAAGUUGAGUAUGUUUGCCAUUACUGUGGUGGAGGGGAAGCAGUGGUGUUACAUUUCUUUUUUGGGAAGUAGAGAUUCUAAGAUUAAAGCUUUAUCAUCUAAUUGAAGGGGAACAAUUACUCUAGUUUAAAGUUUGAGUGUGUUGGAAAAAUCAUGGAUAUGUUGAAAAAAUCAUUGGUUCCGACAAUUAUUACCUCCCCAAUGUAUUGCGUGGAUGGAAGUAAUAGAAGAAUUAUUGAAAAACACACGGUAAGAAAUCGGGGCUUUUCUAACGUCAAGAUAGGCGUCGGUGAAAGUAAUGUCGAGAACAUCCCCAACGUUAAAAUUACACUUCUACCAAGGCAAGUAGUUCUGACGACGUAUUUCAUCACAUCACCAAAAGAUAAAUUAAAUAUUUAUUUCUCGCAUUUUUUUGACGUUCGUGUGCAUAGCGUCAAGGACGGUUAAGACAUUACCGACGUCUAUGUUGACAUCAUGUGAAAGUAUAUUAUAAAAUAAUCAUUCAACUUCCCUCGAUGCCAUGCAAGAGUCAUCUGGAGAGGUGGAUUCUAUCUCCUAUGCCACAAGCAAAUCUUCGUGAGUGGUGGAAACUAUAUUCUCGACAUUUUACUUAUGACUUCGAGGAAUAGGAGUGGUCUCCCGACGUCUUCAAAGUGCAUAUAGAAUUUUCCAAUAUAGAAACUCAAUUCCAGUUUUGUAUUCACAUAACUGAAAAGGGAGAAGGUAGAGAGAGUCGAAGGAGAAGACCGUUCGUCGUCAUAUGCUGCCGCCGUUCAUCGCCAUAUGUUGUUGUCACUCUUCAUUUCGAUAGGUGGUCAUCUAUAUUAAGUGCGAAUAAAUUACUAAUUUUUUUAAAAAAAUCAUAUUCUAAUUUCAAUACACAAAUUUCAUAUAUUUAAUUUACCAAAUCGUCCUAAUUUUGUCUUAAUUUUUUUAAACAUACAACAUGAAAUUUUCAAUUUUUUAAAGUAAUAGUUACAAUGGAAUAAAUUACUGUUUUCUCAGUUUUUUUUCUUACCUACACAUUAUGUUUUUCUUUUUCUCCUUUUAAAUAAGAGGAUUGUUCCAUGGACCAACAUAAAUAAUAAAAAAGUAUAAUAAAUUAAUGAAAGAUAGAAAAAAGAAUAUUUUAGAAAAGUAUGAAUUAAUUUGGUAAAAAUUUUAGAUUCACAAUUUAAUUCGAAUAAAUAUUAAAUCAAUUCUUGGAAUUAAUUUGAAUUUUUUAAAAUAAAAUUCUUAUACGUUUAAAGUUAAAUAUUUUCUAAAAUAUUUGUUAUACAUUAUUAGUAGGUUAUUUAAGAAUUAAAAAAUUAUUUGAUUUAAUAUUAAACCAUUUUAAUAAAAAAUUAUAUUUUUUAGAAAUUUAUUUAACUUAAAUUUAUGGGAAAGAGUUUAGACACAGAAAGAUUAGUUUUAAAAUAAAAUAUUUGAAAGGAUGAAAAAUAAAUAAAAUUAAUACGAGUAAAUUAAUCACAAUUAAUAUUUAAUUAAAAUUAAUUUCGUAAAUAAAAAAGUUAAAAAAUAAUAUAGUUUUUAAAGAUUAUUAAAUUAAUUAAAGAAGGAGUAAAAUUUGAAAAAAUAAAAGAAAUAAUAAAAGAAUUAUAUUCUUGUAGUGGAAAAUGGGUAUGACUUGAAGAAUUUAAAAUAUCCUUUGCAAAUUAUUCUUUGAAAAUUUCAUGCUGAUUUCUGUAUUGAAGGUAAAUGAAAUGAAGGUAACAAUUUGCAACUUAUUACAAAGACAAACUAAUAUUGCAGCAACUUAUUCAUUUACCUUUAAUUUGUUCACUUGUUUAGCCUUUAAAUGUAUGUGUGCUCUAUACUAAGCUUGAGUGGCUGUCCAACUUUAUAUGUUGUUUUCAAAUUCAAAGUGUGACUUUGACACUUAUUUGAAAACUUUUACCUUUCUUUUCCAGGAUUUUGAGGUUGACAUCCAUCUUGGUUAGUUAAUCCUCAACAAUUAACCUUUUAUUAUAAAACGUUCUUUUUAAAACUUUACUUUUAGAAUGUUGAUUUAGAUCAAGUGUUGAAGUGUUAUGAGUAUCCUACAAGUUAUAGUAGUCAUAUAUCAAUACAUAUUGAUGAUACUUAUCUUAAAACUUUGAGUUGAACUCUAAAAUAAAUGUUGUGUUUUUAGUUUGAGUUAGACACUUUUAGUCUAUUGAUGAAGUUAUUAGCUAGUUGGUGGAUUGUAUAACUCUCUUUAUUAUCUAGCUUUAUAAUUGAUAUUAUUUUUUAUAUUUAAUGAUACUUAAGUCACUUUACUAAGAUAAAUAAAUUUCUUGUAACUAUCAUCGUCAUUCACACAUUAUUGAAUUGAAUUCUAAAGUGACUGUUAUGUUUUACUGGAUAUGCACAAACCAACUUAUGUGAUGAGAUUACCAAGCAAGUGAAUGGCAUUUGGUUAGUGACCGUUGGUUUUUUGGCCUUUAAUCUCAAAUUAAUUUAUUUUAAUUAUUUCAUUAAUUUAUGUUUUGAUGAUAACAAAUCUGAUUUUUUUUUUUUACAAUUUUAUUAAUUUGAAUAGACCAUAUCGUAGAGCUUGGAAAAAUGAUUCUAACGUCUCUUGAAUCACUCAAAUUGAAGUUCAAACGAAGAAAAUAUUGCUAAAAAAAAUUUAACCGAAAAAUACUCGAGAUGGUGACGUGGCGACCAAGCAUUCAAUUUGAACCAAUUAGAGAAAGCCACUUGCAGCAAUGGAGGAGUGACAAAUGUGGCUUUUGUUUUAUUCACUUUUAUAAAGAAAAUGAAUUUAAAAAGAAAAUGAUUUUAAUAUCAUUAUUUUUUCUUGUGUUUAACAGCUAGUUUUUUUAAAAAAUGGUGAAGUUGCUUUAUCUUUUUUUUAAAACAAAGUAUUUUGAAAAGACAUAUUAUUAUAUUAUUAUUUGUAUUGUGCAUUCAUUUUUCUUUUACUUAUAUCUAAUGAUCCAAAAUGAUUUUGAAUUUAUAUUUCAUCUCUUUUUAAAUACUUCACUUUUCUCAAACUUUAAAAAGGCAAGAUUAUUAAAACUUUACGAUGCUCAAAAAGUGCAAAAAAACCAACAUUGUUAUUUUUUCUAAAGCUUCAAAUUUUUAUUCUUUUCACCUUAUUCUAGAGCUUCUUAUUGUAUUGUGAGGAUUAAAUUUGUGAGCUUCAAAUUGUAUACUCACUCUUUUAAAGAGUUUUUUUUUUUUUUUGUGAUUUAAAAACUUCGACAUAUUUAACGGUCGGAUCCUAACCCGUGGAAAGGAUCGGGUUUGCUCUUGAACCCGAAAAAGGAGCAAGAAUCGGUUCGGCUCAAAUCCGUGAAAAGAGUCAAAAGAAGAUUUUCAAUCAAAAUCCCAAGAGGUGCUUGGGAAAGUGGAUGUAGGUUGAGUUUAACGAACCACUAUAAAAUUACUGUGUCUUCUUCUCUAACUAUUUUCUAAUUAUUUUUUAAUUUAAUUUUGGAUCGGUACUGGUACAAGUAAUGCAUAACAUAAAUUAAUUAUAACUACAUUACAACUUGACUUAUUGUAAUGUAGUUACUUGUAGCAGUACCUUUUUUUUAUUUGGUUUCUUUGUAAAAAUAUUACCUAGGAUUAGUUACUAAUUUGCUUGUAUUAGUUCCUUUUUCGGACAUUCUAUAAUUUUAUCGUACUUAGUUUAUUUGUAACAAUGUUAUCUACAUUAUAAUUGCUAUACAUGAAACUUAUUUUAUUUGUGUUUUGUUCCAGUUUUGUGUUAAAAAUAGAAUGAGGUAAUAAGAGAUAUAACAAUGUUUUUAGGAAUCAUUUUCAGAAAUGAUAAAACCACUUUUUCUUUUUAAUUUUAUCUAAUAACAUUUUUUGCAUUGGAUGAUAUUUUAUAAAAUAUCAAAAUAUCUAUCUUUUUCAAUGAUAAUUAUUCCGUUUUUGCAUUAUUGUAAUUAAUUUAUGUUAUGCAUUUAUCAGUUUUUAACUAUUUUUGAUUUGGAAAAGAUAUAACAACCCCUAUCAUAACUUUUUUUCUUAAAAUCGGGUGACACAUUCAACAUUUUAAUAAAUUUAUUCAAUUUUACUAAUUUCAAAAUAACCAAAUUCUACAUAAAUUUCAAAAUAACAAAAUUCGUAUUUUUAAAAAUUGGAAAAUCUCAUAUCAAAAUAACCUAUAUUUUUCCUAAUCUCAAUUUCAAAAUAAUCCAAUUAAAUUUUAAAAUAACAAAAUUCUUAUUUUUUAAAAUUGGAAAAUCUCAACAAAUUUUAGACCAAAACAACCUAUAUUUUUUAGAAUUUGAGAAUGUCAAUGAUAUAUUUUGUAUUAAAAUAAUAUUAGUCGAGUUUCAAAAUUAAAAAAUCACGUCUUUUCUAUCCUAUAUCAAACUAACAUUAAUCACUUGAAUAUCAUAUAUUUAAAUUAUUAUUUUGAAUUUGAGAGAAUCUCAACUUUAAUUUUAUUAUAAUCAUGAUUGAAUUUCAAAAUAACCAAAUUAUUAAUUUUUGAAUUUGAGAAUCUCACCUAAUAAUUUUAAAACGCAAUUUCAAAACAACUCAAUUAUUAUUUUGAAUUUACUUUCAACCAUUGAUUUUAUUUCAAAAUAACACUUAAUCACAAAAAUAACUAAAUUAUUAUUUUAAAUUAAAAUUUUCUUACGCUCCUUCUGUUUAGGUGAGAACUGACGUAUUUGUUUGUUUUUCUACUAAUUCUAAUUAAUUUAUUAUGAAAAUAUAGCAUUAUUUAUAUAUUAUAUAUAUAUAUAUAUAUAUAUAUAUAAUUAGUUCAAUACCAUUAAUUCAUACAAGGAUGGAAAUGAAUUAAAAUUAAAAAAAAGAAGUACAUUAAUUAUGUUUAAAUGGACUUUUAAACCAAAAUAUGUUCAUUUGACUCAAUAUUUCUAUCAAUAUUGGUUUAAAAGUGUAAUUAAUGUAAUUAAUGUAAUUAUUUCUAUUGUGUUCUUAUCAAAAGUCUUUUCUGUGUAAUUAAUUUGUAAUAUAUCGUUAUAAGUUUAUCAAUAGUUUCAGUAUAAUUAAUUUGUUAUAUGUAAUUAUGAGUAUGUAAUUAAUUUUGACGUUUUAAUAACAUAAACAACUCUAUCAUAACUAAUUCCUAAUAGGUGGAGAUUUAAAAGAUAUCAAGAGCUUUAUUUAUUUUUUUAUUUCACCUUAUGUUAGAAUAUUUAGCCAAUCCUUAAUAAAAGUUAAAAUUAGUUUUAGUAAUAGAUUUUAAUUUAUUUUUAAAUUUUAAAUUUUGAAUUUGAAAAUUAAAAUUAGUUUUGUAUUAAUAUUUCAACUUUUUUUAUUAUUAUUUGAAAAUUAAAUUUCAAACCUUUUUAUUUUAAAAUAAGGUGAAUCUUUCAAUUAUUUUUUCGUAUUAUAUCAUAAUUUAUUUUUGAAAAUUGAACUUUCUUUUCCAAUAAAAUGGGCUAAGAUAUUAUAUUUUAAGAUAAAAUCUCUCAAAUUUCUUCCACAUUUUAUUAACUAAAUAAUAUAAAUAAUUUUUUUUAAAAAAAUCAAGCUAAAAUUUGCUUAAAAGUUCUCUUCUUUGUCUGUUUUUGCUCAAGUGAAAGUUUUUGUUUUUCCAACCCAAGCAAGUUGUAGACUUGAAAAUCAAAUAUGGAAGGUAGAAAAUGAAGAUAGUGUUUGCGUGAUUCAAAUGUUUAUAUUCUUCUUGAAAAUGCAUGAGAAAGUUGAGGAUGAAACUGAAACUGAAACUUCAAAUGGAAGAGAGUGGAGAUUGGGGUUUGCCUGCUUCAAAGUGAAAAGAUUGGGGUUUGCCUACUUCAAAGUGAAAAGAUUAGCGUUUGCUCGCUCAAAGAAGAUAGAUAAAAAAAAAAAAAAAAAUGGAAAAUGGAGACGAAGGAAGAUUUUCAAAAUGGAAUAUAAGAAAUGAAAAAAGAAAAAGGAAGAUCAUUACAACGGUCUCGAAAAUGAAGAUGAAGAUUUCUAAUUUUGACGAAGAUGAACGGUUCUGAUUUUAAUUGGACAAAUAUGUAUUCAACACUUAUUAAGGUAUAUUUAUUUUAUUUUAGCUUUAAGAAAGUAGCUUACAUUUUAUGUGUACAGGGUCUUUUCGGUUUUUAUAAAUUCUUAUUUAUUGUUUUUUUCUUCCUUUUGCCAUUUUUUAAAGAAAAAGAUGCAGUUUUGCUAUUUUUCAAAUAUUAAUUUCUUUUCAACUUUAAAUAAUUUUAUUUAUUCAAAUAUUUGGAAGGUUAAUUUUAUUGACAAAUUUCAAUAAUGUUAUAAAGAGAAGAUAAUUUAGAAAAAAAAGGAAAAAAAACAUAACUAACACAAUACUCUAACCUAUUUUCUAAUAGUCAUUUGGUGAUCUAAACUUCUAUCAUCUCAACAGUAUUUCACGAGAAUGUAUUAUUCCUUUUUUUUCUUUUUUUAUGCAAUUUUUGAAUUCACUUUAACUUAUUUAUUUUAUUUACUUUUAGAAUUAAAAACUACCGAUAAAUUUUUUCGUUCAUGGUUAGAAUAUGCAUGUCAUAUCAAUUCACUAGUAUAUACAUAUUCUUUUUUAUAUUUUUAGUUUUAAUAUUUUUUAAAUUUAUGUGAUAAAUCAUAAUACUUAUGUUUAAUACUAAUUCUGUAGAGUAAAGAUAUGAAUGUAGAGAUAUUUUAAUCUGUUUAUUAAUUGUAACAAAUUAGUUUAUGGGUUGUUUAGACAAUUUUUUUUUUAUAUAAUUUGCAUUUUUUAAGGGGACAAAAUUGAAGAGAACAAAUUAAAAUUUAUUUGCAAAGUUGAAACCAAUAACUAAACAAAACUCUUUAAAUAUGAAGAAAUAAUAAAAUUCCAUUUCGUAGUAUGUCAUUUCAUUUCAUUUCAUUUCAUUUCAAUUUCGAAUUUCCUUAUCUAUUUCUCAUCAAUGGCUUAUCAAAUCUCCUCUUUCCCCUUGAAUACUGGAGCUAACAUCCCCUCCCUUGGACUCGGAACUUGGCAGGCCACUGAAGGUCUCCUCACUAACGCCAUUCCUGCCGCCCUCAAGGUUCUUUCUUAUAUAUUCUUCAACUUCUAUUUCUUUUCUUCUUACUUCUUAUCAUCAGGAAUGCCCAUUUCUGCAUUUCUUUUACUACUACUACCAUUCUUCAUCUUUAUUUUGAACCUAAAUCAUACUUUGACAAGGUCGUCUUCGUUAAUGUUCACUUAAUGGGAUUAAAGUAGAAUUACAUUUACAAGUCAUAGCUACCGAAACGAAUACUUUGUUUACUCUGUUAAAACAGAGGACACUUUUACUUAUAAUUUUGAAAUUUUGUUUCGAAUUGUGAUUUUUUUAGUUAGUUUACGUAAAUUGAGUGUUUAUUGUUGCUGCAGAUUGGUUAUCGCCAUAUCGAUUGUUCUCCAGUUUAUGGAAACGAGAAAGAGGUAAUUUUUAAUUCAGUGCAAGCAGUUUACAUGUCUUUCGUUUACAUUUUGUAUUAUAUAUUUAGUUUUGAAACAUAUCUGUCAUUGAAAUUAUAACUUAUUAAAUGUUGAUCAGUGGAAGUUUUCUUUUGUUUCUUAGUAAUUUGUUUUCUGUUUUGAGGAUGUGUAAUAUAUUCUAGACUGUUGCCAUUAAAUUCUAUUCAAUCGUCUGUUUUGGUUGUAGCUUUGAGAAAAUAGGAGAGGUAUCUGAUAAUGUAUUGUUGCUUUUGGCAGAUUGGUUCAGUUCUGAAAAAGCUUUUUGAAGAAGGUGUAGUUAAGCGUGAGGAUUUGUGGAUCACUUCCAAACUCUGGUUUGUUCAGCAUUUCUAGUUCUGCUGGUGACAUGUUAUUCUUUUCCAAAUAUUAGGGAACUGACAACAAUUUUCACUCUCCCUGCAGUAGUGAAUUUCCGUUUUGAUUUUUUAACCUUAUUUGGACCCUAAAUUUUGUAAAAGAAAACUAUUCCCAAGGAUAAAAGGAUAAACAGUAGAACUCUAAUUAAGUGACUUCAUUGACCUGCAGGUGUACUGAUCAUGCUCCAGAAGAUGUACCUAAAGCACUGGACAGAACCUUGAAAGAUUUACAGCUUGAUUAUCUUGAUCUCUACCUUGUAUGUAUUAUUGCACUACUUUACUCAACAAUUGUCAUUAACAGUUUAUACUUGCUGAAGCUGGCAGUUUAUAUAACAAUGUGACGAUCUAACGACAUUUUACGACAAUUUUGUAUGUUCUUAAAUGGAUGCUUCACUGAUGGGUGCACUCUAAUGUAACAUCUUCAUAAUAGAUCCAUUGGCCAGUUCGGAUGAAGCAUGGAUCUACAGACUUUUUUGACCCAGAAAACCUUGUUACGCCAGACAUACCAAGCACAUGGAGAGCCAUGGAAGCACUCUUUGAUUCUGGAAAAGCCCGAGCUAUUGGUGUAAGCAAUUUCACCAUGAAGAAACUUGGAGAUUUGCUGGAGGUAGCUCGUGUUCCUCCGUCUGUCAAUCAGGUGGAAUGUCACCCAUCAUGGCAGCAGGACAAACUACGUGAAUAUUGCAAAUCAAAAGGAGUUCAUCUAAGUGUGAGUUGCAAAAACCUGGAUGUUUUUUUUCGUGGAAGAUUUUGGACUAUAUAUAAAAAGUAUAGCUGAGACUUGAGCCAAUUUCAGGGAUACUCUCCAUUGGGUUCAUUUGGAACAACUUUUAUGUUCAAGGGUGGUGAUGUUCUUGAAAAUCCAAUUCUUAAAGAGAUUGGUGAUAAAGUUGGGAAGACUCCUGCACAAGUUGCCCUUCGUUGGGGACUACAAAUGGGUCAUAGUGUGCUCCCGAAAAGUACUUCUGAAUCGAGGAUCAAAGAAAAUUUCGACAUUUUCGAUUGGUCGAUACCUGACGAUUUGUUUGCCAAGUUUUCUGAGUUCCAUCAAGUAAGUAAACAUAGUUCUAUUGAUCUUGAUUGUUUCGUCGGAGUGGAAUAUAUUUGUGUAGAGUUAUUAUUAUGUUAAUGUUCUAAGAUCGACUGUGUUGAUUACUUGGACAGGAA